UAAUACGAAGGGGGCAAGCGUUGUUCGGAUUUACUGGGCGUAAAGGGCGCGCAGGCGGCUCUUCAAGUCAGAUGUGAAAGCCCCGGGCUCAACCUGGGAACUGCAUUUGAGACUGAAGAACUCGAGUUCGGGAGAGGAUGGCGGAAUUCCCAGUGUAGAGGUGAAAUUCGUAGAUAUUGGGAAGAACACCGGUGGCGAAGGCGGCCAUCUGGACCGAGACUGACGCUGAGGCGCGAAAGCGUGGGGAGCAAACAGGAUUAGAUACCCUGGUAGUCCACGCCGUAAACGAUGUGUGCUAGACGUCGGGAAGCCUAGCUUUCCGGUGUCGCAGCCAACGCUUUAAGCACACCGCCUGGGGAGUACGGCCGCAAGGUUA
Molecule: ribosomal RNA, 376 nt
Filed under: uncultured bacterium
Lineage: Bacteria
Description: bacterial SSU rRNA
Rfam family: Bacterial small subunit ribosomal RNA
Source: RNAcentral